CUUUAUUCAGUUUUUAAAACUUGCAGUGGUUUCAUUUAACAUUUUACUAAGCUAUCUAGAAGAGUGGAAUACUAGAAAAUUUUCAUACCUGAUGUACCUAAGUUUUUCAGAUAAUGAAAUAUUACUGAAGAAAAAUCAAAAGGCUCUGUAUAAUAAAUUGUAAACAGGAAAUUUAUAAAGGGGCUCUGUACUGUUUCAUACUUUUAAGCAAAUGAGAUGAAUGAAAUCAUACAUCUCAAAUCUAAGAGAAAUAUAUAUUAGGCAUGAUAGCUAACUAAGAUAACAUGAUAGACUGAUUGCAAAAACAACCACAUUUCUUUAUCCCUCCCUAUAUCUAUCCCCUCUGCAGUAUGAUUUGAUGUCUCUCCCCUAAAAGGUGGUCUAUUUCCCACCUUUUAAAUCUGAGUUGGCCCUGUGACUUCCCUCUGGCCAAGUGAAUAAGGCGGAAAAGUGCAUGGUAAGCCAGUUCUGAGUUUAGAAUAAAGGUUUUGCAAGUGUCUACUCUUUCUCAAGGAACUCUGCCACCACCAACUAAAUAAUCUUUGGCUGGCCUGCUGGGGGAUGAGAAACCAUGUAGAGAACAACCAAGCUGUUUCAUCUUGGGCCAUUCUAGACCAGCUGGAAAAUAUAACCUUGAACAUGUGAGAGUCUAGCCAAGAUAAGCAUAGCUCUCUUUAACUUCACAACUGAUUGCCUAUUCUUGAGUUAGCCCAGCAAGACAAGAACUGCCCUGUUGAACUGUAGACACAUGUCACUGAGUUAUGGGGAAGUUUGUAACACUGUACAUUCAUAUGUAAGUAGAUAUACAGUUGACCUUUGAACAAUAUGGGCUUGAAUUGUGUGGGUCCACUUAUACACAGAUUUUUUUCCCACCUAUGCUACCCCAGCACAUCAAAACCAACCCUUCCUCUUCCUACUCCUCAGCCUACUCAGCGUGAAGACAAGGAUGAAGACUUUUAUGAUGAUCCAUUGCCACUUAAUGAAUAGUAAAUAUAUUUUCUCUUCCUUAUGAUUUUCUUAAUUUUUUUUCUCUAGCUUACUUUAUGGUAAGAAUAUAGUGUAUAACACAUAUAACACAAAAUAUCAGUGUUACGGCUGUUUUAGAAUUUGUCUAGCAGGUUUUCUGGUUUUUACGAGACUCCCCCAUACUCCUACACCAUGCAAAAGUUAAAAAAAGAAAACACAAAAAACAUACAAAACGUGUUAAUUGAUUACUUAUCAGUGAGGCUUCUAGACAGUAGGCUAUUAGUAAUUAAGAAAGUCAAAAGUUGUACAUGAAUUUUUGACUACAUGAAGGUUGAGGAAUGGUGGUUGGCAUCCCCUAACCCCUGUGUUAAGGAACAACUGUAUUUUGAUGCUACAAAAAUAGAUUAUGAGAGAGUAAGAGAAAUAAAACACAGCAAUGAAUAUAGUUAGAUAACAAAAACUGGAAUAAUAGAAAAGUUUUAUUGAUCAACAAGUGAGCUAAAACUAAAAUUUAAUAGGAAUAAAUGAUGUCCCAAAUUCAGAGUUAAAAAUAUUUAACUACUCAAGAUGGGACAAGGUGAGCAAUAAUUCAUUAUUUCAUGACAAACUUAC
RNAcentral lists this long non-coding RNA (1578 nucleotides) under Homo sapiens (human). RNAcentral describes it as "HSALNT0086708". The stretch from base 1085 to 1145 matches the Rfam family "U7 small nuclear RNA". The record is from RNAcentral. Lineage: Eukaryota; Metazoa; Chordata; Mammalia; Primates; Hominidae.